This 277-nucleotide long non-coding RNA is filed under the name Pongo abelii (Sumatran orangutan). RNAcentral describes it as "lincRNA". The record is from RNAcentral. Lineage: Eukaryota; Metazoa; Chordata; Mammalia; Primates; Hominidae.
ACCAGAAAUUAUGGUGCUACAAAAAUACCUGCUUAUCUUAGAGCCAAAACAUUUCAGUUUUAAAAAAUGGCCUCGUAUUGCAGAUACAUAAGUCAGCUCCAGAUCGACUGCAAGAACAAACCAGCAAUCCUGAGAGGAUCCACAGACUCUCUAAAGGAAGCGGACUGCUCCUGCAGGACCCAGGAGAUCCCCAAAUACUAUCCUGCGCAUGUCCACAGAGCGUUUCUGAUCCAGCUCCCCUUUUUUAAUAAGGAACUCUUCAACAAGAAAUAAACUC